GGGAAGACUUAGAUCCCCCGUGGUUGGCGUGUUAAUAGUGGUGUCAUAGGCCAGGCAUCAUGGUUAGUGAAUC
RNAcentral lists this non-coding RNA (73 nucleotides) under uncultured Prevotella sp. RNAcentral's name for it is "L13-Bacteroidia ribosomal protein leader". It matches the Rfam family "L13-Bacteroidia ribosomal protein leader". The record is from RNAcentral. Lineage: Bacteria; Pseudomonadati; Bacteroidota; Bacteroidia; Bacteroidales; Prevotellaceae.